This 253-nucleotide ribosomal RNA is filed under the name uncultured bacterium. RNAcentral describes it as "partial 16S ribosomal RNA". It matches the Rfam family "Bacterial small subunit ribosomal RNA", at positions 524 to 776 of the family's 1533-position model. The record is from RNAcentral.
UACAGAGACUGCAAGCGUUAUUCGGAUUUACUGGGCGUAAAGCGCACGUAGGCGGCUUUGUAAGUUAGAGGUGAAAGCCCGGGGCUCAACUCCGGAAUUGCCUUUAAGACUGCAUCGCUAGAAUUGUGGAGAGGUAAGUGGAAUUCCGAGUGUAGAGGUGAAAUUCGUAGAUAUUCGGAAGAACACCAGUGGCGAAGGCGACUUACUGGACACAUAUUGACGCUGAGGUGCGAAAGCGUGGGGAGCAAACAGG